RNAcentral lists this long non-coding RNA (6437 nucleotides) under Lactuca sativa (garden lettuce). Its description in RNAcentral is "long non-coding RNA (LSAT_LNC001649)". The record is from RNAcentral. Lineage: Eukaryota; Viridiplantae; Streptophyta; Magnoliopsida; Asterales; Asteraceae.
ACACAAACUCAUAACUCAGGCAUAACCUAAACAGGCUAUCCUACUACUGUCUAAUCAGCACUACCAUGCAGCUCAAAAGCACAAAUAACAGGCUCAUAAGGCAUCAUCCCUAGAUCCUUAGUCCUAUUCUUGCGUGCUUUUCUAUCAACUGAUAAUCAUAACAUAAACUUGUAUGGGUAUUUUGGGGUACAUACUUGAGCUCGGUUGAUUGCAUGCACCACACCUCUUUUCUCUUUUCAAAGUUCUUUUCUUUCUGAAUUCCUUUUUCUUUUCUAAAACUGUUUUUCGUUCUCAAAAUUCUUUUUAAAAAACUGUCUUUUCAUUUUUGAAAACUGUUUAUCCGACCCCUCAGUUUGAGUUCAGGCACACCCGAGAGUAUGCCCGAAUCCCUCAAACCAAGGCUCUGAUACCAACUUGUAACGUCCCAAAAUUAAAGACUAAAAAUUUCUUUUAAUAAAACCUUACUUUAAGCAAAUUCAUCAUUAAAAAACAUAAGCAACGUAUUAGUUUCCAAAAUACAUGUUCAUUAUCAGAGUAAACAUUCCUAGGCUGACAAAUCUAUGGUGUGUGCCAUGCGAUCACCCCGAGCACCUCCCUCCGCUACCGGAAAUACCUAAAAACAAAACUGAAAACCGUAAGCACGAAGCUUAGUGAGUUCCCCACCCUACCACAUACCAUGCAUAACCACAUACUGCACAUACUGGGCCACGCCCGCUAUCCUGGGCCUCGCCCCCUACCUCGGGCCUCGCCCGCUACAACGGCCCCGCCGCUCCAGGCCCCGCCUGGCUUCGAGCCCCGCUCGGAUACAGAUCUGUUUCACUUAGGCCUCGCCUGUCACAGGGCCCCGCCCACUAACAUAUAAUAGCACACACUCAUAUCACAUAAGCUAAACAUAUACUAACAUCUCUUGCUCUAAGGCCUCGCCUAUCUCUGGGCCCCGCCCGUGUCCUGCUACGGAAGAGUCAUGGAACCUCGUCCAUACUCCUGCUAAUAAUGAGAUACGGGCCCAGCCCACCCUCACUCCUUUACUAACUUGGGCCCUGCCCCUGGACUGCUGCUACUGAGAUGUGGAACACCAUCCACACUCUGCUAUUCGUGAGAUACGGGACCUCGCCCACACUCACCUCCCUACCAGGCACAUACAAGUAUCACACAGACAACAAGUAUAAACUAUCGCAUAAACCAUUCCUUGGGCACCCGCCCUCUAUCAUUGGACCUCGUCCGAAUAUCAUACUAGCAUACUGUGCCUAGGGCUAACCCCCGGGUCUUCUACUCAUAACUACAUGGGCCGGCAUUGUGGCCGUAGACCCAUUCAUACAAAGGGAAACUCACCUGCACUGGCUGAACUUGCUGAUGAUCCCACUAGCUGUCGUCCGACCACUCACUGAACUCCUGCUCUACUUGCUCCUCAAGCUAUCAAUAUCAAUGCAAUACUUAGUCUAACUGACCCCCGACAGUUAACCAAGUCAAUUCUGGUCUAAGACAAUGUCCUGGUCAAAGUCAACCUUUCCAGGUCAACCCUACUCGCCGAGUCCACUUACUGACUCGCCGAGUUCAUAUACUCAGGGUCUUUCCAUUCGCGACACGACUCGCCGAGUCAGUCCAUGACUCGCCGAGUCUAACGAUUUCCGAGUCCUGACCUGUCCAACUCGUUGAGUCUCCAACCGACUCACUGAUUCGAGUCUCAACUCAAAGGGUUUGGUGUUUCACGACCAUACUCGCCGAGUCCAAGAACAGACUCGCCGAGUACAAGGAAAUCUUCAUCCAACUCACCGAGUGCAUGCCCAACAUCAUCCGACUCGACGAGCUGUUCAUCCCACUCGUCGAGUUCCUCCUCAUCUUCAUGGUACUCGCCGAGUCCACUCAAAGGACUCGCCGAGUUCAUUCAGAUCUCCAAACAUGCAGAGGACUUUUGAGUCAUGCAGGGACUCCAAACCAUAGAUCCAUACAUCCAAAGCUCAAUCCCUACGUAAAGUUGAAAACUUUACGUAUAACUUAAGAGAUCUAGGCUCAAAACAUACUAGGGUUUGGUUUAAGGACAAAAGGGCUACACCAAGUACUCAUCUCCUGAUGCUUUAUGAUAUAUUGGAGCAUCCCAACAAUAGAUCUGAAGUGGCAACAACAUAUCUAAGCUCUUAACCCGAUUUGGGUCUCAAUCAACCAUAAAACCCCCAAAUCUCAUAACAAAAUAGAUCUAGAUGCAAAGAAGGGAAAAUGGCAGCUUAAUACCUCCAAGAUGAACACAAACUGAAGUAGAUCUCGAGCACACACCUCUUCUUUAAAGCAACCUUCUUGAUUUUCAAGUUCCUUUCCAAAGUUUCCUUCCUCCAAAGCUAUUUCUCUCAAAUGAUGGAAGCUCACACGAAAUAUAGGGUUUACAGGUUCUCUGGGAUGAUAUGGGGGCUGAGGGAGGGACAUAACACCCUUUAUAUAGGAUACAACUCCCGGAAUUAGGGUUUUCCUCGCAAAGACCAGACUCGCCGAGUCACCUUGGCCGACUCGCCGAGUCGGUUGCUUACUCCUCGACCUGGAUCCCGCUCUGACUCGCCGAGUUCCUCCUUGGGCUCGCCGAGUCGCCCCUUAACAUUAAGGUUUUCUUUCCUUUCUUGGCCUUCAAAACUUUGGGUGUUACAACUCUCCCCCACUUAAACUAAACUUUGUCCUCGAAGUUUGCCAUGGCCCACCGCCUGCGAUCUGUCUCCAAUACCCCACCAAUUAUUCCAACAGGAGCUACCUACCUUCGCUGGUCUUCCACUUGGUCAUUCUGACUAGCAUCACUCCUUGCGGAUAAUCAUCUCGGGUCAAUCCUGACCCUGAACAUUCUGGAGACACAACUUACCCAACCGUCAAUCCUUCUGGUACUCUCUGAGUACUGUAUUGAACCCAUAUGGGGUUCACUCCCUUCUUUCCUCACGCGAUUCCCUUGCCUUCCCAAGGCGAUACUCCAAAAUCAACUAUUUCCUCUGUCACUGUGAAGAUCCUAUCUUCACCAAUCCAUUAUUCCCGCUAAAUCCAGUACAGGUCAUCACCGCCAGUAACCACUGACACUCCUCCCUUGUCAUAACUUGGUGUCGAGCACCCCUCGACUCAGCGAACUGGAUUCCACCAUAACCCGCUCUCCUGCACUACUACUGACUAGAUAUUUCUGCCAUUCCUCAUCUGCCUUCCGGAUGAACUGAGACCACUCUGGUCCCUACCAACCUGUCAAUAUUUGGAUUAUCGGCUCCCACCGGUAGCUAGUCCCACACCAUCACUAGUCGCUCUCAGCGACUUCCAAAGAAACCUCGACCACCUAUAACUGCUCAAUCAAUUCUGCCAUUCAAGCACUACAAACCUGGGAUCCCCGAUCCCCUAACUUGACACUAAGGUCCUUACCAGGUUCCACCUGCGCUGCUAAAACUCACGGGCCUCGCCCACGGGUCCCACCCGCCUCUAUCCUUCUAGUCCCACUAGUCUAUUCACUCUCGCUCGGGCCUCGCCCACGGGGCCCACCCAACCAUACUACUAAGCAACCCUGCUCCUAGGUCUCAUCUACACUGCUAAUCUCAUACGGGCCUCGCCCACGGGUCUCACCCAACGAUAUCUUGGAGCGGCCUCUCCCAAGGUCUCACCUCGCUAGGGCUAUACAGGCAACUCACUAUCAUUCUCAUCCACUACCCAUCCUGAUCCCCAUCAGAUCACUAGGAAAUAAGGGCCUCGACCCAACUCCACGAACGAAGCGACUAAGGAAUGCUACGGCUUACCCAUAGCCUUACAUCACCAUCCAUUGCUGACUGCUAGUGAAUGCUACGGCUGCCCCGUAGUCUUACAACACUUCCACCACUGACUGCUAGUGAAUGCUACGGCUGCCCCGUAGUCUCACAUCACUUCCUACCACUGACUGCCGACACGAAGGCACCCAUGUGCCAUAAGCUCUCAAGAUCCUCAUUCUGACUCCCUCGAGUCCUACGGGCGAUCCACAACCUGAAUUUCCCAAUCACACAUUAACUAUUACCAAUACAUGCACUAACUGGUGGGGAGUUCUCAAACUCCAACCCUGAAUCCUUAAACCAUCAAACGCUGAACUACUUCUUUUCCAUCUCGGAGGUCGCACACUCAUUCUGGGUCUGCGUGCUCCUACCUUUGCACACUCGGAGGAUUCUCCCCCACUUCGAUCCUGCUUAGCCCUUAAUGAUAAAUGCUCAAAGAGAAAACCCAAUCCUUGCUACCAUUCCAUAAUCAAUCUGCUGAGGAACCCAAGCUUACCAUAGCUAGGGAUCUAACCAAUCCAUCUCUGACACUACAUGACCCAGAUCUAGCGAAACAUACCAAGUCCCUCCCAAGCAUACUACAGUUACUGCAUCCUAUGUAAGCUUCUCCAAUAGGGCACAUCCCCUCACUACCAUUCGAAUAACCAAGGUAUGCAGAUGUCAUAUAACUCGACCACAAUCAACCGCACAUAAAUAAAAUACUCAUACCGAUAAUGAUGCAGAACCAUAACAAUAUAAUCAUACACAAAUAAAAGAAUUGAACAUGAAAAUUCCACACCUGUAACGUCCGGCGUUGCCCGUGUCUCCAAGGUCGUCAUCUGAAAAGCCCUGCUCCCUGCUGCAGGUGCCUCUACCCGGCCCUGACGGCCAUCCGUGAUCCUCAAGGUUGCAGGGGCGGGUGCCAUCACCCGUCCUGCCGAAGACAAACUGGGGCACUGGGCCUUCUUGUGGCCCCGCUGGUUGCAAUGAAAACAUAUCAAGUCUGAUCCCUGNCGACUGCGGUCCUGAUGAUCCCUCGAUCUCAAAUCCGAUCCCUUGGGCCUUUUGCCCGAACCCGCAGCUACCUGAACCUCAUCCGGCUUCCUCUUCCGGAUUUGCUCCAAAUCAAUUUCCCUUUCUCUAGCCCGGGAAAUCAUAUCAUCCAGCGUCUUACAGCUGGAUCUGCUCACGAACUCCCUGAUGUCAUCCCUCAACAUCUCAUGGUACCGAGCCUUCUUCAUCUCCUCAUUCGCGACAUACUGCGGUACAAGAAGAGCCCUCUCCCCGAACUUGGCGGUGAUCUCCGCCACAGUCUCAAUAGUCUGCGUCAAAUCCUGAAACUCUCGUGCCAACUGCUGCACCUCAAUCAUCGGCAAAAACUCCGCCCUGAACCUGGCUGAGAAAUCACUCCAAGUCAUCGCGUCCAACGCAGCAUCAUCCCCCAAAGCAUGACCAAUCUCCUCCCACCAAUCCCUUGCUCUGUCCUUCAGAAGACAGGAAGCGAGUCUGACCUUGUCCCCCUCGGGACACUUGCUCGUACGAAAAGCGUUGGCAAUAUCGGCCAACCAUCUGCUGCUAGCAAUGGGGUCUCUAGCCCCAUGAUAAUCUGGUGCUUCGCAAGCCCUGAAAUCACGAAAUGUCAAGGUAUGCGCUCCUAUCAAGGCCAUCAUCUCAGUACGGAAGGCUUCCAGCCUCUCAUCCAACAUCUCCAAUAUACCCUCCUUGACCGUGCCAAAGAUCACAGGAGUCUGAGCUAGAAUACUGCGCGUAACCUCAGCUGAUAUCAACUCUCUCAUCCGCUCAUCGAGCUGCUCGGUCCCUGAACCUGAGCCUGAUCCCUCUCCGGCGACUGAUCCGCCCACUGGUCUCUCUCGCAAUGUCACCAUGUUGAAAAUAUACCACAACCACUAUCAGAAUACUCAUCACUGAUGCAAGACCCAACAUACCGUACCAGGUUCCCGGUCUUGUCUCGGCCUUUCCCGAAUCGAGUACGGAUCCUCUGCUUUCAAUAGUACGGGCCCAUACUACCUUCCACAUCUAUCCGUACUUUCCUCAGGAAUUGGUUCGACUCCACCAGGUCCCUUUUUCCCAUUACUACUGCUCCCAGCACUACCUCAUCCUAGGAUUACCCUAGGGAAACCUCUGACUCAACUCAAACGAGUCCUCAGCUGCCGAAGGUCUCCUUAUGAUGCCAAUUAGCCAUCACCUGGAUACCAUCACAUGUGACGAGGCUCAGAUAAUCCUUCAAGUAAAAGACUCGUCCCUACAACGGUUGGACUCAAACGAGAGCUGCGAAAUAGGGUCAAAUCCAGCACUCUGAGAUUAUUCAACCCUGAUCACAUGUGACGUGGCGUAUCCACCUAAUAGCUAACUCCCAUCACUCAAAAUCCCAUAAUGCACAAAGCAAGCAGCAUUCGAACAAGGGAAAAUCUAACCAUAAAUUACUCAAGCAAUCAUAUACACAUAGCAAGAAUCUAAACUAGCAUGAAACACAAACUCAUAACUCAGGCAUAACCUAAACAGGCUAUCCUACUACUGUCUAAUCAGCACUACUAUGCAGCUCAAAAGCACAAAUAACAGGCACAUAAGGCAUCAUCCCUAGAUCCUUAGUCCUAUUCUAGCAUGCUGUUCUAUCAACUGAUAAUCAUAACAUAAACUUGUAUGGGUAUUUUGGGGUACUUACUUGAGCUCGGUUGAUUGCAUGCACCA